This 246-nucleotide ribosomal RNA is filed under the name uncultured bacterium. RNAcentral describes it as "partial 16S ribosomal RNA". It matches the Rfam family "Bacterial small subunit ribosomal RNA", at positions 524 to 769 of the family's 1533-position model. The record is from RNAcentral.
UACGUAGGGGGCAAGCGUUGUCCGGAUUAUUGGGCGUAAAGAGCUCGUAGGUGGUUCGGUAAGUCGGAUGUGAAAUCUCCAGGCUCAACCUGGAGGGGUCAUUCGAUACUGCCGUGACUAGAGUUCGGUAGGGGAGUGUGGAAUCCUGGUGGAGCGGUUGAAAUGCGCAGAUAUUAGGAAGAACACCGGUGGCGAAGGCGGCUCUCUGGAACGGUACUGACGCUGAGACGCGAAAGCGUGGGGAGC